UAGAAUUUUAAUUCUGGUUUGGUGAGUUAGUUAUAUUAUAGGGAUACACAUGGUAAAUAAAAUUAGAUAGUGAGGAUUAAGCUUAUUAAUUAUUUAAAAUUUAGAAAAUUUAAAUGAGGGUAAAUUAGCAUAUAAUUUGGUAAUAAUAUGAAAGGAAAUUCACAACUUCAGUGAGGAGGAUUAAAUAAAUUUUGAAAGAAGGUUUUGGUUAAUAAUAUUUAAGACUGGAAAAAUGGGUGCCAGCAUCAGCGGUUAUACCUAUGGUUUAAAUUUACUACUAUGGAAGCUAAAAUUUAAUAAUAAAUUUAUUAAUAAGUUAUCUUGAAAUAUAAGGCAGUUUAAUGUAAAUAGUUUUUAGAGCUAUGGAAUUUAGAAGUUUUAAUUAAUAAGUCUAAUUUAUAAACUAGGAUUAGAUACCCUAUUAUUUUAGAGUUAAAGUUUUAAGCCGGGGAAUUAUUUUUUUUAUGAGCAAUUUUAAAAUUAAAAAUCCAAAGAAUAUGGCGGUGUUUUAAAUCAUGUUAGGGGAGCCUGUGAAUUAAAUUGAUGAUCCGCAGAUACCUUACCUUAAAAGAAUAAAUAAAGUUUAUAUAUCACCGUUGACAACAUAUUUUGAGAAAAUAAUAAAAAUGGUUUAAUUAUAUAGAGUGUGGACUUCAGGUAACAUAUAGCUUAUGUUAAGGGUAAUUAUGGGCUACAAUUAAUUUUACUUGUUUUUAGAUAUGAAAAUAAUUUUAUAAGAGUGGACUUAACAGUAAAUAUUUUAAGAAAGAUAUGUUGAAAUAGUAAUAAAAUACGUACAAACCGCCCGUCACUCUCAUAAUAUCUUAAAUUGAGAUAAGUCGUAACAAGGUAAGGGUACCUGAAGGUGUCCUUAGA
RNAcentral lists this non-coding RNA (876 nucleotides) under Tropidomya abbreviata. Lineage: Eukaryota; Metazoa; Mollusca; Bivalvia; Poromyidae. The record is from RNAcentral.